This 72-nucleotide transfer RNA is filed under the name Candidatus Kaelpia aquatica. RNAcentral's name for it is "tRNA-Val". It matches the Rfam family "tRNA". Rfam says of the family: Transfer RNA (tRNA) molecules are approximately 80 nucleotides in length. Their secondary structure includes four short double-helical elements and three loops (D, anti-codon, and T loops). Further hydrogen bonds mediate the characteristic L-shaped molecular structure. tRNAs have two regions of fundamental functional importance: the anti-codon, which is responsible for specific mRNA codon recognition, and the 3' end, to which the tRNAs corresponding amino acid is attached (by aminoacyl-tRNA synthetases). tRNAs cope with the degeneracy of the genetic code in two manners: having more than one tRNA (with a specific anti-codon) for a particular amino acid; and 'wobble' base-pairing, i.e. permitting non-standard base-pairing at the 3rd anti-codon position. Lineage: Bacteria; Pseudomonadati; Candidatus Omnitrophota. The record is from RNAcentral.
GGGCGAGUAGUUCAGUGGGAGAACGCCUCGCUUACAACGAGGAAGUCGGAGGUUCAAUCCCUCUCUCGCCCA